This 23-nucleotide non-coding RNA is filed under the name Arabidopsis thaliana (thale cress). Lineage: Eukaryota; Viridiplantae; Streptophyta; Magnoliopsida; Brassicales; Brassicaceae. The record is from RNAcentral.
AGCGCCCACCUAGUCCUAUCUAG